GUUGUAUGGUUAAGUGACUAAGCGUACACGGUGGAUGCCUUGGCAGUCAGAGGCGAUGAAAGACGUAGUAACUUGCGAUAAGCCCAGAUUAGGUAGUAACAACCAUUUGAGUCUGGGAUUUCUGAAUGGGGAAACCCACGUGCAUAAGCACGUAUCCUUACCUGAAUACAUAGGGUAAGGAGGCGAACCGGGGGAACUGAAACAUCUAAGUACCCCGAGGAAAAGAAAUCAACCGAGAUUCCGAAAGUAGCGGCGAGCGAAAUUGGACUAGCCCUUAAGCUUUACACGCGUUAGACGAACGGUCUGGAAAGUCCGACGAUACAGGGUGAUAGUCCCGUAGUUGACGACGUGUGUUCAGUGAAAUCGAGUAGGGCGGGACACGUGAUAUCCUGUCUGAAUAUGGGGGGACCAUCCUCCAAGGCUAAAUACUACUGACUGACCGAUAGUGAACCAGUACCGUGAGGGAAAGGCGAAAAGAACCCCUGUGAGGGGAGUGAAAUAGAACCUGAAACCGUGUACGUACAAGCAGUAGGAGCAGGCUUUGUCCUGUGACUGCGUACCUUUUGUAUAAUGGGUCAGCGACUUAUAUUCAGUGGCAAGGUUAACCAUCUAGGGGAGCCGUAGGGAAACCGAGUCUUAACUGGGCGUUCAGUCUCUGGAUAUAGACCCGAAACCAGGUGAUCUAGCCAUGGGCAGG
This 697-nucleotide ribosomal RNA is filed under the name Vibrio parahaemolyticus. Its description in RNAcentral is "partial 23S ribosomal RNA". It matches the Rfam family "Bacterial large subunit ribosomal RNA", at positions 1 to 744 of the family's 2925-position model. Lineage: Bacteria; Pseudomonadati; Pseudomonadota; Gammaproteobacteria; Vibrionales; Vibrionaceae. The record is from RNAcentral.